Molecule: ribosomal RNA, 253 nt
Filed under: uncultured bacterium
Lineage: Bacteria
Description: partial 16S ribosomal RNA
Rfam family: Bacterial small subunit ribosomal RNA
Source: RNAcentral
CACGUAGGGCGCAAGCGUUGUCCGGAAUUACUGGGCGUAAAGCGUGCGUAGGUGGUGAGUUAAGUCUGUCGUGAAAGCCCCGGGCUCAACCUGGGAAUGGCGAUGGAUACUGGCUCGCUAGAGUGCGGUAGAGGAGAGUGGAAUUCCCGGUGUAGCAGUGAAAUGCGUAGAGAUCGGGAGGAACAUCAGUUGCGAAGGCGGCUCUCUGGACCAGCACUGACACUGAGGCACGAAAGCGUGGGGAGCAAACAGG